ACGGCCCGAUCACGUUGAAACACCGGUCCCCGUACGAUCACCGAAAGUUAAGGCAACGUCGAGCCUGGUUAGUACCUAGAUGAGUGACCGCCUUGGAAUAUCAGGUGCUGUA
This is a non-coding RNA of Acanthosepion pharaonis, 112 nucleotides long. The record is from the annotation of a GenBank genome assembly. Lineage: Eukaryota; Metazoa; Mollusca; Cephalopoda; Sepiida; Sepiidae.